GACGAACGCUGGCGGCGUGCCUAACACAUGCAAGUCGAGCGAGUGAAUCUCCUUCGGGAGUGAAGCUAGCGGCGGACGGGUGAGUAACACGUGGGCAACCUGCCUCAUAGAGGGGAAUAGCCUUCCGAAAGGAAGAUUAAUACCGCAUAAGAUUGUAGCUUCGCAUGAAGUAGCAAUUAAAGGAGCAAUCCGCUAUGAGAUGGGCCUAUGGCUUAUCAGCUAGUUGGUAGGGUAAAAGCCUACCAAGGCUAUGACGAGUAGCAGGCGUGAGAGCGUGACCUGCCUCACUGGGACUGAGAAACUGCCCAGACACCUACGGGUGGCUGCAGUCAAGAAUCUUCCACAAUGGGGGAAACCCUGAUGGAGCGACGCCGCGUGUAGGAUGAAGGCCUUCGGGUUGUAAACUACUUUUAUAUGGGACGAAUACGUGACGGUACCAUACGAAUAAGAGGUUGCUAACUCUGUGCCAGCCGCCGCGGUAA
Molecule: ribosomal RNA, 482 nt
Filed under: uncultured bacterium
Lineage: Bacteria
Description: partial 16S ribosomal RNA
Rfam family: Bacterial small subunit ribosomal RNA
Source: RNAcentral